This 806-nucleotide ribosomal RNA is filed under the name Bufo bufo (common toad). RNAcentral describes it as "partial 16S ribosomal RNA". The stretch from base 164 to 806 matches the Rfam family "Bacterial large subunit ribosomal RNA", at positions 568 to 1680 of the family's 2925-position model. Lineage: Eukaryota; Metazoa; Chordata; Amphibia; Anura; Bufonidae. The record is from RNAcentral.
CUAAAAACCUAGCCCAAUAAACAUGAAUUUUACCCAAUUAACUAAACCCCCUUGAUAAACCAUUUUAACAUUCUAGUAAAGGAGAUUGAAAAACUUAUUUGGAGCUAUAAAGAUAGUACCGCAAGGGAACGAUGAAAUAUUAUGAAAAACUUCAAGCAGCAAAAAGUAAAGAUUACCUCUUGUACCUUUCGCAUCAUGGUUUAACUAGUCUAACCAAGCAAAGCGUAUUUAAGUUUGACUUCCCGAAACUAAGUGAGCUACUUCAGGGCAGCUAGAAGAGCAAACCCGUCUCUGUGGCAAAAGAGUGGGAUGACCCUCAAGUAGUGGUGACAGACCUAACGAACCUAGUGAUAGCUGGUUACUCAAGAAACGGAUUUAAGUCCAACCUAAAAGUCACACUACUCAAGUUUAUCAAAACAAUCAUUUGACUUUUAGAGUAAUUCAAAUAAGGUACAGCCUAUUUGAAACAGGAUACAACCUAGCCUAAUGGAUAAGAUCAGCCUAGCAUACAAUCAAGUGGGCCUAAAAGCAGCCACCUUUAAUAUAGCGUCAAAGCUAAAUUGUAACCACGCCUAAUUACUUAACCCAUAUCUUAAUCCCCUGCUAAUACUGAGUAGUUCUAUAAUGCUAUAGAAAUUUUUAUGUUAAAACUAGUAACAAGAAGAAGACCCUUCUCUUAAAUGUACAUGUAAAUCAGAAAAGACAAGCUACUGAUACUUAACGCCCCUGAGCACGAAGUAGUAACUCACCAAGAAAACUCUACUUUUACUGGUGUUAACCUAACACAAGAACAUUCUAAGAAAGAU